RNAcentral lists this ribosomal RNA (253 nucleotides) under uncultured bacterium. RNAcentral's name for it is "partial 16S ribosomal RNA". It matches the Rfam family "Bacterial small subunit ribosomal RNA", at positions 524 to 776 of the family's 1533-position model. The record is from RNAcentral.
UACGAAGGGGGCUAGCGUUGCUCGGAAUCACUGGGCGUAAAGGGUGCGUAGGCGGGUCUUUAAGUCAGGGGUGAAAUCCCGGAGCUCAACUCCGGAACUGCCUUUGAUACUGGAGAUCUUGAGUCCGGGAGAGGUGAGUGGAACUCCGAGUGUAGAGGUGAAAUUCGUAGAUAUUCGGAAGAACACCAGUGGCGAAGGCGGCUCACUGGCCCGGUACUGACGCUGAGGUGCGAAAGCGUGGGGAGCAAACAGG